Molecule: long non-coding RNA, 439 nt
Organism: Poeciliopsis prolifica (blackstripe livebearer)
Lineage: Eukaryota; Metazoa; Chordata; Actinopteri; Cyprinodontiformes; Poeciliidae
Exons: 2
Source: RefSeq, a predicted model, not a curated record
UGCAGAGAGGAGGCGGCGUGGGAUGCUGCUCUUCUUUUCAGCUCCCUGGAGAUCUGAAGCCAAGAUAGCAUGUAGCAGCAGCAUCCGUACAGGCAGUCGCUCCACACGCUUCCCUGCUCAGAGAAAAAGAGACAGAAAGAGACAGAAAGAGCUGAACAUCAGUGGGAGGCCCUGGCAGAAAGGUCAACAUUUACAUUCAGGAUUCGCGCCGUGAUGGGAAAACUGCUGCUUUACAAAACAAACAACCUACAGGUUUGGACCCGUUUUCAGAAGAAGUCCUGGCAUCGCUCCGCAGCCUCGGCCCACUCCGCCCUCAGAGGAGCCAACAUUUCCAGCCUCCUUCUCUCAUGGCAGCGCUCCAGCCUCCGUCCGGCCCACAAACACUUUCAGCCUUAUCUGUCCUCCUCACUUUCCCAGAAAAUAAAAGGAAAAAAAUGUC